Phrynosoma platyrhinos (Desert horned lizard) is the source of this 72-nucleotide non-coding RNA. Lineage: Eukaryota; Metazoa; Chordata; Lepidosauria; Squamata; Phrynosomatidae. The record is from the annotation of a GenBank genome assembly.
AGUAGUGUAGUGUAAUGGUUUGAGUGCUGGACUAUGACUCUGGAGACCAGGGUUCAAAUUGCUGUUCAACUA